RNAcentral lists this transfer RNA (67 nucleotides) under Marmota monax (woodchuck). Its description in RNAcentral is "tRNA.Ala". Lineage: Eukaryota; Metazoa; Chordata; Mammalia; Rodentia; Sciuridae. The record is from RNAcentral.
GGUUGUGGCUCAGUGGUAGAGCGCUUGCCUGGCAUAUGUGAGGCAUUAGGUUCCAUCCCUGGCACCA